AUGGCGUUUAAUCUGUUAUUAGACUCAAUUGGCUUCUCUCAAAAUGUAAAAGAACCCACCCACCACUUUAAUCACACUCUAGAUCUUGUUUUAACAUAUGGCAUAGAAACUGAACAUGUAACAGUGUUUCCUGAAAACCCUCUGCUGUCUGAUCAUUUCCUGAUAACAUUCACAUUUACAAUAAUUGAUUACACAGCAGUGGAGAGUAGACUUUAUCAAAGUAGAUGUCUUUCUGAAAGUGCUGUAACUAAGUUUAAGAAUAUAAUCCACCCACUGUUAUCAUCUUCAAUGCCCUGUACCAACAUAGAGCAGAGCAGCUAUCUGAACGCUACUCCAACAGAGGUCGAUCAUCUUGUUAAUAAUUUUGCCUCCUCACUACGUACGACUCUGGAUACUGUAGCUCCUGUGAAAACUAAGGCCUCAAAUCAGAAGUACCUGACUCCGUGGUAUAAUUCUCAAACACGUAGCCUAAAGCAGAUCACUCGUAAGCUGGAGAGGAAAUGGCGUGUCACAAAUUUAGAGGAUCAUCAUUUAGCCUGGAGAAAUAGUUUGCUGCUUUAUAAGAAAGCUCUCCGCAAAGCCAGAACAUCUUACUAUUCGUCACUGAUUGAAGAAAAUAAGAACAACCCCAGGUUUCUCUUCAGCACUGUAGCCAGGCUGACAAAAAGUCAGAGCUCUACUGAGCCAACAAUCCCUUUAACGUUAACUAGUAAUGACUUCAUGAACUUCUUCACAAAUAAAAUUUUUAUCAUUAAAGAAAAAAUUACCAAUAAUCAUCUCACAGAUGUAAUAUUAUCUACAGCUACUUUUAGUACCAUCGAUGUUAAGUUAGACUCUUUUUCUCCAAUUGAUCUUUCUGAGUUAACUUCAAUAAUUAAUUCCUCCAAACCAUCAACGUGUCUUUUAGACCCCAUUCCUACAAAACUGCUCAAAGAAGUCCUGCCAUUAAUUAUUUCUUCAAUCUUAAAUAUGAUCAACCCAUCUCUAAUAAUCGGCUAUUGA
RNAcentral lists this long non-coding RNA (1002 nucleotides) under Oreochromis niloticus (Nile tilapia). Its description in RNAcentral is "lncRNA (ENSONIG00000041633.1)". Lineage: Eukaryota; Metazoa; Chordata; Actinopteri; Cichliformes; Cichlidae. The record is from RNAcentral.